GGUGGCUCAGUGGUAGAGCACUUGCCUUGCAUGCCUGAGGCCCUGGGUUCGAUUCCCAGUACCA
This 64-nucleotide transfer RNA is filed under the name Dipodomys ordii (Ord's kangaroo rat). It matches the Rfam family "tRNA". Rfam says of the family: Transfer RNA (tRNA) molecules are approximately 80 nucleotides in length. Their secondary structure includes four short double-helical elements and three loops (D, anti-codon, and T loops). Further hydrogen bonds mediate the characteristic L-shaped molecular structure. tRNAs have two regions of fundamental functional importance: the anti-codon, which is responsible for specific mRNA codon recognition, and the 3' end, to which the tRNAs corresponding amino acid is attached (by aminoacyl-tRNA synthetases). tRNAs cope with the degeneracy of the genetic code in two manners: having more than one tRNA (with a specific anti-codon) for a particular amino acid; and 'wobble' base-pairing, i.e. permitting non-standard base-pairing at the 3rd anti-codon position. Lineage: Eukaryota; Metazoa; Chordata; Mammalia; Rodentia; Heteromyidae. The record is from Rfam by way of RNAcentral.